CGCGUAGGUGGCGACCCAAGUCUGUGGUGAAAGCUCGACGCUCAACGUCGAGUCGGCCAUAGAUACUGGGUUGCUUGAGCACUGUAGAGGCAGAUGGAAUUCCGGGUGUAGCGGUGGAAUGCGUAGAGAUCCGGAAGAACACCGGUGGCGAAGGCGGUCUGCUGGGCAGUUGCUGACACUGAGGCGCGACAGCGUGGGGAGCAAACAGGAUUAGAUACCCUGGUAGUCCACGCCGUAAACGAUGGGCACUAGAUGCUUGGGGGAGCGACCCCCUGAGUGUCGACGCUAACGCAUUAAGUGCCCCGCCUGGGGAGUACGGCCGCAAGGCUGAA
Molecule: ribosomal RNA, 332 nt
Filed under: uncultured Gemmatimonadota bacterium
Lineage: Bacteria; Pseudomonadati; Gemmatimonadota
Description: bacterial SSU rRNA
Rfam family: Bacterial small subunit ribosomal RNA
Source: RNAcentral